AGAGUUUGAUCAUGGCUCAGAAUCAACGCUGGCGGCGUGCCUCAGACAUGCAAGUCGAACGAUUAAAGCUCCCUUCGGGGAGUGCAUAAAGUGGCGCACGGGUGAGUAACACGUAAGUAAUCUGCCUUCGAGUGGGGAAUAACCCGGGGAAACCCGAGCUAAUACCGCAUAAUGCAGCGGCACCUAAUGGUGACAGUUGUUAAAGGAGCAAUCCGCUUGAAGAGGAGCUUGCGGCAGAUUAGCUUGUUGGUAAGGUAACGGCUUACCAAGGCUACGAUCUGUAUCCGGUCUAAGAGGACGGUCGGACACACUGACACUGAAUAACGGGUCAGACUCCUACGGGAGGCAGCAGUCGGGAAUUUUGGGCAAUGGGGGAAACCCUGACCCAGCAACGCCGCGUGAAGGAUGAAGUAUUUCGGUAUGUAAACUUCGAAAGAAUAGGAAGAAUUAAUGACGGUACUAUUUAUAAGGUCCGGCUAACUACGUGCCAGCAGCCGCGGUAAUACGUAGGGACCAAGCGUUGUUCGGAUUUACUGGGCGUAAAGGGCGCGUAGGCGGCGCGGUAAGUCACUUGUGAAAUCUCUGAGCUUAACUCAGAACGGCCAAGUGAUACUGCAGUGCUAGAGUGUGGAAGGGGCAAUCGGAAUUCUUGGUGUAGCGGUGAAAUGCGUAGAUAUCAAGAGGAACACCUGAGGUGAAG
This 700-nucleotide ribosomal RNA is filed under the name uncultured bacterium. RNAcentral describes it as "bacterial SSU rRNA". It matches the Rfam family "Bacterial small subunit ribosomal RNA", at positions 8 to 720 of the family's 1533-position model. The record is from RNAcentral.